RNAcentral lists this ribosomal RNA (245 nucleotides) under uncultured bacterium. RNAcentral describes it as "partial small subunit ribosomal RNA". It matches the Rfam family "Bacterial small subunit ribosomal RNA", at positions 26 to 285 of the family's 1533-position model. The record is from RNAcentral.
AGAAUCAACGCUGGCGGCGUGCCUAACACGUGCAAGUCGAACGAGAAAGUGGAGCAAUCCAUGAGUAAAGUGGCGCACGGGUGAGUAACACGUGACUAACCUACCCUUGAGUGGGGGAUAACCUAGAGAAAUCUGGGCUAAUACCGCAUAAUACCUUCGGGUCAAAGGAGCAAUUCGCUUAAGGAGGGGGUCGCGGCCGAUUAGUUAGUUGGCGGGGUAAUGGCCCACCAAGACUAUGAUCGGUA